Molecule: ribosomal RNA, 253 nt
Filed under: uncultured bacterium
Lineage: Bacteria
Description: partial 16S ribosomal RNA
Rfam family: Bacterial small subunit ribosomal RNA
Source: RNAcentral
UACGAAGGGGACUAGCGUUGUUCGGAAUCACUGGGCGUAAAGCGCACGUAGGCGGAUGUGUCAGUCAGGGGUGAAAUCCCGGGGCUCAACCUCGGAACUGCCUUUGAUACAGCAAGUCUUGAGUUCGAGAGAGGUGGGUGGAAUUCCUAGCGUAGAGGUGAAAUUCGUAGAUAUUAGGAAGAACACCGGUGGCGAAGGCGGCCCACUGGCUCGACACUGACGCUGAGGUGCGAAAGCGUGGGGAGCAAACAGG